Trichonephila clavipes is the source of this 84-nucleotide non-coding RNA. NCBI's taxonomy places the organism in Eukaryota, Metazoa, Arthropoda, Arachnida, Araneae, Nephilidae. The record is from the annotation of a GenBank genome assembly.
GUCAGGAUGGCCGAGCGUUAUAAGACGCUGAGUUCAGAACGCAGUCCACUUCUGUGGGCGUAAGUUCAAAUACCACUUCUGACA